This is a small nucleolar RNA of Paramisgurnus dabryanus, 77 nucleotides long. RefSeq annotates it as small nucleolar RNA SNORD66. Lineage: Eukaryota; Metazoa; Chordata; Actinopteri; Cypriniformes; Cobitidae. The record is from RefSeq and is a predicted model, not a curated record.
UUCCAGUGAUGACCUCUUUUUUUGUGCCACGUGUCUGGGCCACUGAUUUAUAUUGAUGGGAUUGAGGAACUGAGGAA